AGCCUCCAAAGCAGCUCAGAGAACGAGGCCCAGUCUUCAGAGCCGCGGCCGUGGAGCAGCUCCAGCCUCAACCUGAAGCAUCCCGGUCCUGACCCGCGGAGACCGCUCCAGCAGCAGCAGGAGCGCGGGACGCCUCUCAAACACAGGUUUAUAUUUAGACUUCCUCUCAGAUUUGACCUCGCUUACACUGUAAUCUAGUGCUGUUGGUCUUCCUCACUGUGAGCUGAUGAACCAGCACUGCACAUCAAACUCAUUUCAAAGCAGCUUUACAGAAAGUCACGAGGUCAGCAGUGCUGUCGUCUACAGUCCCAGCCUGACCUCACAGGCCUCCAGGUGUCACUCAUCUGUAGCUCCGCCUCCUGCCGCUCAGCCCACCAAUCACCUCACAGAACAGAUGCCGGUGUGUCACUGUUCGUCCAGCCAGUUCCCGGUGUCUGGACAGCCGUACCUGCGCAUGGGUCCAGUGCCAUACAGCGCUCAGAGUCAGAUUCCUCCCGCACCCCCGCAGCAGCCAGGUUACCAAACUGUGAUCAAAUCAGCAGCAGAACUACCAGAACAUGAUGCAGCCGCCGCAGAACCAGAUGCAAGUCAUGAUGCUCCAGCAUCCGUCAGUGCCAUCUUAUCAGGUGAACACUGCAUUCUGGGAGCAUGUAUUAACUCUCAGCUGAGUAGAGAUGUUUCAGUAUAGUGACCAAAAUUAUCACGGUUAUCAGUAUUGUUCAAAUGUGCUGGAAAUGUUGGGAAAGUACUGACACACAAAUCAUUUCACCAAGUUUUUCUGUUUUCACCUGAGACUGUUACUGAAAACUCUGCUUUAUGCUGGACGGUUUUAAUGAUAAUUAAAAGUGCUAAUACUAACCGUGGGGAAUUGUAUCAUGAUUUAUCAGUGUCAAGCUGCUGAUCGUUAAUAGAGUUAACCCACAUCAUGAGUGAUGUAAAGCAGAGGCGUGAUGAGCGUCUGUGAAUGUGUUUUGUGUCAGGUGUCUGCGCAGUGAAAACACAGCAUGCGUCUGCUGACGAGUGUUCAUAUAUAUUUUUUAGAAUAAUAAAUUCAGACUGAUUUAAUCUUCUGCUGAAUAA
This is a long non-coding RNA of Cyprinus carpio (common carp), 1080 nucleotides long. Lineage: Eukaryota; Metazoa; Chordata; Actinopteri; Cypriniformes; Cyprinidae. The record is from Ensembl.